RNAcentral lists this long non-coding RNA (356 nucleotides) under Hordeum vulgare. RNAcentral describes it as "long non-coding RNA (HVUL_LNC009097)". The record is from RNAcentral. Lineage: Eukaryota; Viridiplantae; Streptophyta; Magnoliopsida; Poales; Poaceae.
CGUUCCACUUUGGUUUUCGACUAAUAAUUACCAUGAUGAAUUUCUCUUACUGCUUGGUUCCGCAUUGGAUUUUGGAAACUUUUGUUUAGAAAGUGGUGUCACGACCGUGGGGAUCAAAUGGAUGGUUCAGGAAAGUCUAGUGAAGCGGCACGGUCUAAUCAUAUAGAUGACCAUAGUGGUAUGGUUCCAUAGAAAACUACUGGAGGCCAUUACCGCCACCGAAAUGGUUUCCAUGCUCCGUUGGAUGAUUUGACGAUAUCGCAGUAUCAAGCUAGAACGGUUUCAAUUUGUAGGACGGGAAAGAAACCUCAUCCUUUGGUGCACACUAACCGAUGAAGCUCAACCCUCUCUCGAAC